This 368-nucleotide ribosomal RNA is filed under the name uncultured bacterium. Its description in RNAcentral is "bacterial SSU rRNA". It matches the Rfam family "Bacterial small subunit ribosomal RNA", at positions 1 to 334 of the family's 1533-position model. The record is from RNAcentral.
CUAGCGACUUCAGUAGUUUGAUCCGUGGCUCAGGACGAACGCUGGCGGCGUGCUUAACACAUGCAAGUCGAACGGAGUUCAGCGCUGAAAUGAUGCUAGCUUGCUAGUGGAUUUUCUUGCUUAACUUAGUGGCGGACGGGUGAGUAACGCGUGAGUAACCUGCCUCUCAGUGGGGAAUAACGCCCUGAAAAGAGCGCUAAUACCGCAUAAUAUAUUUUUUGCCACAUGACAGGAAUAUCAAAGAUUUAUCGCUGAGAGAUGGACUCGCGUCCGAUUAGCUAGUUGGCGGGGUAACGGCCCACCAAGGCGACGAUCGGUAGCCGGACUGAGAGGUUGAACGGCCACAUUGGGACUGAGACACGGCCCAG